CUGCGUGUGUCUCUCUCUCUCUGGCUUUAUCUAUUCAUUUCUGUCCACAGGCAGGAAGAGAUGGCAGCCGGGGAGACUCAGCUCUACGCCAAGGUCUCCAACAAGCUCAAGGUCCGCGGCCCGUCCCUGCUGCUGGAGCCCCUUCUGGGAAUGGGCUUCCCGGUACACACCGCGCUUAAGGCGCUGGCGGCCACUGGAAGGAAGACAGCGGAAGAGGCAUCAGACUGGCUACGUUGUCAUCGCGACGACCCUUCUCUGGACGAUCCCAUCCCCCAGGAGUAUGCCCUGUUCCUCUGCCCCACGGGGUCCCUGUUGGAACAACUUCAAGAGUUCUGGAGAGAGAGCAAGCGUCAGUGCACGAAGAACCGAGCUCAUGAGAUCUUCCCGCACAUAACGCUCUGUGACUUCUUCACGUGCGAGGACCACAAAGUGGAGUGUCUGUACGAGGCUCUAAAGAGAGCCGGGGACAGGAUCCGGGGUUCCUUCCCCUUGGUCGUCCCUCUGGCUCUCCAUUCUUCCAUCAGCUACCUGGGCUUCUUCGUGAGCGACAGCCCUGCGGAUGUCAUCCGGGAAUUCGCCACGACGUUCGCCAUGGAAGUGGCUGUCUUGGCAGACUGCACCGUGAAGCCCUGCGCCAAGCAGCUGCACCUGACCCUGGCCCACAAGUUCUACCCCCACCACCAGAGGACACUGGAGCAGCUGGCCAGAGCCAUCCACCCAGGCCACGGCUGCCAGUGGACCGCCGUGCUGUACUCCCGAGACAUGCGCUUCGUGCACUACCAGACCCUCAGGGCCCUAUUUCAGUACAAACCCCAGAACGAGGACGAGCUGACACUAAGUCCGGGCGACUACAUCUUCGUGGACCCCACCCAGCAGGAGGAAACCAGCAAGGGCUGGGUGAUUGGGACCUCCCAGCGGACCGGCUGCCGGGGCUUCCUGCCCGAGAACUACACGGAGCAAGCCAAUGAGUCUGACACUUGGGUCAAGCACAGGACAUACACCUUCAGCCUGGCCAUGGACCUGGCCUCCAGAAAGGACGGGGAAGCCAGCAGCAGGCGAAACGGAGAACCGCACCCUCCACAGACGCCGAGGGACGUUAGCAGCAUCCAGGCUUUACAGGCCACAAUAGCGAGGAAGAGUGUGUUGGUGGUGCGCCACGGGGAGAGAGUGGAUCAAAUCUUCGGGAAGUCGUGGCUGCAGCAGUGUUCCACUCCUGAUGGGAAAUACUACCGGCCAGACCUGAACUUCCCUUGCAGUCUGCCCAGAAGGAGCAGUGGAAUCAAAGACUUUGAAAAUGAUCCUCCACUAUCAUCGUGUGGAAUUUUCCAGUCCCGCAUAGCAGGAGAAGCACUGCUGGACAGCGGCAUCAGAAUCACCUCCGUCUUCACCUCCCCAGCCCUCCGCUGUGUGCAGACAGCCAAACACAUCCUGGAAGAGCUCAAACUGGAGAAAACAAUUAAGAUAAGAGUGGAACCCGGCAUCUUUGAAUGGACAAAAUGGGAGUCCGGCAAAACCACCCCAACCCUCAUGACCCUGGACGAGCUGCAGGAGGCGGGUUUCAACGUCAGCAUGGAUUACAGGCCUGCGUUUCCCCUCGCCUCCCUCAUGCCGGCCGAGAGCUACGACGAGUAUGUGAACAGGUGUGCGGUGAGCGUCGGAUGGAUCACCAGCAUCCGCCCACGGGACGGGAACACAGCCCAUCCGUCCCCGUGUGGCUGAGGCUGUCAGGAUGCAAUGCUUGAGGGACAGGACAAGUCGGAUUUGGAAGGUGAGCAGUGCCGGAGAGGGGACAGCAUGAGGCAGGCGGGAGCGUGACAGGUGUGGCCAGCGGCAGAGGAGGAGUAAAAACUCCAGGCGGGCUGGAGGGUAAGAGCCGACCCCACCGGUCCCCGGGCAGACGUUAUCUGUGAACUGGUCACCGUCCUGCACAGCCUGGUGUCACCUCCACGCACACCGCAUGACUCUGCAGCCCAGAGGACUGAAGCCUACGUGCCCACAUCACCCGAGCACCGAGAGCACAGGCCCAGAGUCGAAGCAGUGCGUCCGCCUCCCAGGUGGCAUCCUGGCUGCCACCGCACCGUGACUUCGGAGGCCAGAGAUGUGAGAGCGGAAUUAACAGGAAAUAGUACAUCAGGGCUUCGGUCACGCUGGAGAAUUCAGUGUCAGGAAGCAGCAAGAAUGAAUCGUUCUGUGUUGGCCAGAACCUUCAAGGGAAGCUCUCCACCCGACUGCCUCUUCCAGGUGGAUCCUGUGGGGCCGGCCACAGCACCUCGUGGACCCACCAGGACCCGCCAGCUCCCCCCAGCUGUGACUGGUCCCCGCGGCAGUCACGCCCGCCAGCAGAAGACUCGCUCCACCCGUGGACUCAGGGUGUCGUUAUUGAAGCGAGAGGCAUCAGCAGGCUCGUGGUGGCUGAUGCCUCUCAAGCUGAAGGACCCAGCCUGGGAGGCAGCCACCACAUCCCGCAAGAGGUGGUCCCUCAGGUCACAGCGCAGUCCCGCCCCCGAAGCUCCCGACAGGCGCGGCUGCCCCCAGAAGGUGCACGAGGACGUGAUACAGCAGGGACCGUGCACACGCAUGGGGGAGCCGCAACUCGGGGUUACCUGCCGCACCGCUUCCGACCCGGGAUCUCUCAAGGCUUUGUGUACCCCGGGGGUGAUUCCACCCGACGACUUUGGGGACUCUCGUUCUACUAGAAGGCGCUCUCCGUGCCUGCUCUGACUCCGAGGUGUCCCUUUCUGUACAGUAGGCGUCAUCCUGAUCGUGGGCCACGGCUCAGCGCUGGACUCCUGCACCCGCCCGCUCCUUGGGCUGCCUCCCCGCGACAGCGGAGACUUCGCCCAGCUCGUGAGAAAGAUUCCUUCUCUGGGUA
Neofelis nebulosa (Clouded leopard) is the source of this 2872-nucleotide RNA transcript. It is a transcript of the gene named ubiquitin associated and SH3 domain containing A, with no coding region annotated. Lineage: Eukaryota; Metazoa; Chordata; Mammalia; Carnivora; Felidae. The record is from RefSeq and is a predicted model, not a curated record. The transcript is spliced from 14 exons.